Long non-coding RNA from Homo sapiens (human), 193 nucleotides. RefSeq lists it as uncharacterized. The record is from RefSeq and is a predicted model, not a curated record. NCBI's taxonomy places the organism in Eukaryota, Metazoa, Chordata, Mammalia, Primates, Hominidae. The transcript is spliced from 3 exons.
GGGGCCAGGCUCUUUCCCACUGCAAAGGGCAAGAACUUCCAGAGGCUCCACCACAGGGUGCAUUCCCAGCACACAAGCUGGUUGGAAUUUUCCAGAGGGAAGCUCUCUAUGGACGACUGCCCCAGCCACAUUGUUUUGUGAGAACACCCGAUGGAAAACAAUAUAGAAGAUCUUGAACUCACUGCUGGCAAAA